CUCUCUCUCUCUCUCUCAUUCUCUCACAGCAGCGUCGCACUAUCCCCCUCUUACUGUCUCUCACCCUUGCAAGUAGUAGUGCUCCACGAAGCCACCGCGUCUGGAUCUAUCCCUACCACACCUGAUAAUCACCACCGACGUCAGCCGCAUCAACACCAGAUCUGAGGAUAUGGAAUCAUAGAUCUGGAGGGGUUGAGAUGAAGUUGGAAGUUUUUGUUUUUUCAAUGCGAUUUGGGAAUUGAGAAGCUUUGUUUAAUUUCUAACUUAAUUUCGAUUCUCAAUUGUAAUAAUCUGCAACUAGUUUCUAUUUGGGUUUGUCAAAUCUUGAUCUGGAGUUGACCUAGUGU
Rosa rugosa (rugosa rose) is the source of this 347-nucleotide long non-coding RNA. RefSeq lists it as uncharacterized. NCBI's taxonomy places the organism in Eukaryota, Viridiplantae, Streptophyta, Magnoliopsida, Rosales, Rosaceae. The record is from RefSeq and is a predicted model, not a curated record. The transcript has 2 exons.